GCUAGCGUAGCUCAAUUGGCAGAGCGGCUGAUUUGUAAUCAGCAGGUUGCGGGUUCAAGUCCCGCCGCUAGCU
RNAcentral lists this transfer RNA (73 nucleotides) under Planctomycetaceae bacterium TMED138. Its description in RNAcentral is "tRNA-Thr". It matches the Rfam family "tRNA". Rfam says of the family: Transfer RNA (tRNA) molecules are approximately 80 nucleotides in length. Their secondary structure includes four short double-helical elements and three loops (D, anti-codon, and T loops). The record is from RNAcentral. RNAcentral also lists the same sequence under 4 other names. Lineage: Bacteria; Pseudomonadati; Planctomycetota; Planctomycetia; Planctomycetales; Planctomycetaceae.